UACGUAGGGGGCGAGCGUUGUCCGGAAUUACUGGGCGUAAAGAGCACGUAGGCGGCUAUAUAAGUCAGAUGUAAAAAACCUGGGCUUAACCGAGGAGAUGCAACUGAAACUAUAUAGCUAGAGUCAAGGAGAGGAGAGCGGAAUUCCUGGUGUAGCGGUGAAAUGCGUAGAGAUCAGGAAGAAUACCAAUGGCGAAAGCGGCCCUCUGGAAUUAAACUGACGCUGAGGUGCGAAAGCGUGGGGAGCAAACAGG
RNAcentral lists this ribosomal RNA (253 nucleotides) under uncultured bacterium. RNAcentral describes it as "partial 16S ribosomal RNA". It matches the Rfam family "Bacterial small subunit ribosomal RNA", at positions 524 to 776 of the family's 1533-position model. The record is from RNAcentral.